This 120-nucleotide ribosomal RNA is filed under the name uncultured bacterium. RNAcentral describes it as "partial 16S ribosomal RNA". It matches the Rfam family "Bacterial small subunit ribosomal RNA", at positions 796 to 915 of the family's 1533-position model. The record is from RNAcentral.
CACGCGGUAAACGAUGAAUACUAGAUGUCGGGUAGCAAAGCUAUUCGGUGUCGUCGCAAACGCAAUAAGUAUUCCACCUGGGGAGUACGUUCGCAAGAAUGAAACUCAAAGGAAUUGACG